This is a non-coding RNA of Phrynosoma platyrhinos (Desert horned lizard), 72 nucleotides long. Lineage: Eukaryota; Metazoa; Chordata; Lepidosauria; Squamata; Phrynosomatidae. The record is from the annotation of a GenBank genome assembly.
GUCAGUGUGGCAUAGUGGUUUGAGUGUUAGUCUGCAACUCUGGAGACCAGAGUUCAAAUCCCUGCUCAGCCA